CCUGUCAAUUCUAUUCUUGUUCACAUGUCCAAGCCUGCAAUGCCAAAGAUAGGAUUCACUGAUAUUAUCUAAUUUUGCAUGUUUACUGGAUGUGUGCAUUAUACCAAUUGGCUGUGAUAUUAUGUAUAUGCCAUAUUUUAAUUAUCCAUGUAUAAUUAUAGUAUCAUUCAUAAUGAUAUCACAAAAGUCAUCCUUUAUUAUAAACUUGAAAUCAAGUUUGGCCAAAAGGCCUACAGAGAUGACAUUCAUCAGAAAGGAGGGAUAAUAAUAACAAU
RNAcentral lists this long non-coding RNA (275 nucleotides) under Elaeis guineensis (African oil palm). RNAcentral describes it as "long non-coding RNA (EGUI_LNC006850)". Lineage: Eukaryota; Viridiplantae; Streptophyta; Magnoliopsida; Arecales; Arecaceae. The record is from RNAcentral.